GUUAUCCAUUAUGCUUGGCCAGAAAUACUAUACCUUCUAAUUACUACCUCCAGUAUUACCAGAAAAAUAAAAUUUUCAGUGCAGUAGUAACAUGACACUGCAGGAGAGAGCCACAUAGUUUAAUGACAGUUUGAUGUAUUUGAUUGCCUCUUUGGAACUCUGGUUUUGCAAUUUAGAAAUAAAAAGAUUUAUAAUCCUGAAGAAAAACAGGCUUAGCUCUGUUGAUGCUGUGAGCUACAUUCUGGGCCUGUGCAUUCACCCUGCUAGGUUUUGUUUCUGGUGGCUUCGAUACUACCACCUGGUCAUCUUUAGUAUUUAAUAUCUUAUUUUUUUGUAGAAAACCAGCUGUGUUAAGUGAAAUAUUAGAAAUAGUAUUUCCACUAAGGCUGCUAGCAUCUAGCAAAGGGCUUUUUAUUUCAAAUUUAGUGGUUUAGAAAAUAACUGAACAAUUUUCUUACUAUUUUCAACAACACUGAUGGAGCUGGAGGACAUUAACCCAAGUGAAGCAGGCCAGACACAGAAAGCCAAAUACAGCGUGGACUCUAGAGAUGCUGAACGUAUAGAGGUGGAGUAGAAAGGGGCUGUCGGGGGCUGACCGCUGGGGAAACGGAGAUGAGGUCAGAGGAUGCAAACUUUCAGUUGUAAGAGGAUUCGGUUCUGAGGACCUAGUAUACACAUGUGAGGGCAGCUGAUAACACUUAGUUACUUCCUUCAUUGCCAGGACAAAAUACCCGGCAACCACAACUUAAAGAGAGGUUUAUUCUGGCUCACAUCUUCGUCUACAGUCAGCGGGCUCCCGCACUGAACAGCAGGAGAGAGAGCCUGGCGGAGGCACCGCCCACAACAUGGCGGACCGGAAGCAGCGCGGAAGGGAGGAGCCACAGGGAGACGAACCCUUCCUGGCCACGCCUCUUCCAGCCAGGCCCCGCCUCCUACCGGCCACUCCGGGGAGCCUCCAGGAUUUGAUCACCUUCCGAAGUUCGCACCUAUGAGUGCAGGAGGCUUCCGGGGGACAGACUGGUAUCAUCCAUGACAGAUACUGGGCGUGCACUUGAAAUUUGCUAAGCGAGCUGAUCUCUGCCCUCCCUUCACCCCACCGAAUGAUGCCUGCAGUUGUGUAAACUGAAGAACCUGACCCUGGAAAUGCCAGAGCUGAGACUGGGGAACGGGCUCCCUCGGGCGGGUCUCCAGGCAGUUCACAACACUCAGGAGUCAGGUUGAUUUCCGUUAGAAAGGGGGUUAGUGCAAGGGGAGGUUGCAGGCCUGUUUAAAAAUUUAUUCAUUACAAACCUUGUAGAAGGAAUUGACUUUCACAUUAUCACUUUGACAAGACCGACAACUUUGUUUACCGCCUGAGGGGAGGCGGCCACUGCGCAGCCGCUUCCACACGAGUCCUCGAGUAAGGGUGGGCGCCAGGGCCAGCUGGGCAGCUGUGACCCUCGGCCUCUGUCCCGGGGACCCUGCCUUCCAACUCAGAGCUCAUGGGACCCCCGCUACCUGGCUCGGCCUUCCCCUUCUCCAAGUUCACCAUCUUCUCCCAGGCAGGACCCCCACCGUAUCUGUAAGCAGAAUGGAGUUGCCUUCGAGGUGGUUUCGGCCUGUAAAUAAUUCCUCUGAUGGACAACUAAAAUCACUAUGAGGAUGUGGAGAGCUGAAAAUGCAGGUCUGCGUGUGUGUACAGCGGCUGUAUUCACACCUGCGGAGACGUGGGCGUCACCAGGACUGAGCUACUCAGGAGGCUGAAGCAGGAGAAUCUCAAGUUUGAGGAUACCCUGGACAACUUAAACUGAGUCAGAAGCCUGGACUGACUGAAACCUAAUUGAUAGCCACCACCGAACAUCAGAUUCCCAGGGUUAGAAGAAGCUUGGUUUUCCUUUUUCCUGCUCAGCUUGCCUGACUGCUUCACAUCCUCAAGUUGGAUGCUUCUUCAGUAAUUCUCCCUGCUCACCUGUCUGAAGAAGUGGCAAAUUCCACCUGUGUGGAGAAGACCACAGCUGCUGGAUACAGGAGCCCUCGGUUUCUCCUUGGAGCUGGAGUUUGUUCUAAUGCACUGCACUUGGUUGUGUGUGGUGCUUUGGUCUCCCCUGCUGCACGGAGACCCAGACCCUGGCAUGCAGGCAAGAUUCACACCACCUUGCACACCCGUCUGGUUCAGAGCACAGGGCCUGGCUGACAGCAAGGGCUCAGCAUGCAAGAACAAAUGGACACUGCAGCUCGUGGGACACAUUCAUUCAUCCCUUGGACAAGUGCUUUGCACAGUGAGCUUUAAUACGAGAAUGCACACCAGUAACUUUACCUAUAGCAAUUUACCAGAUAAACAAUGCAUGCACUUAAAUACCAUGUGUGGUGCCAUUUGUCAUUCUGCUCAUCUUAACUUCAUCAAUUUUUCAGGAACUCCCGGCAGAUGGCACCCAUAAUACUGUCAUGGGCUUGGAAGCUGGCUGGUUUCAACAUGAACUUAAAAGUCAAAAUGAAUAAACCUUCCUUCAUUCAAUUAAUAAUAACUCACAUUUAUUUGGCAUUUUCCCAUUUACAAAAUGCUUUUAAAUCCUUGUGUCAGUUCUGUGACAAAUUCUGUCAGCAUACUGAGAGAAUUUUACUAUGCACUUCAGAUUCCCGUGGAUGUGCUGUUUAGUUGCACUGCAGGAUAAUUUAUGCUGGUUAACGACGAUGCCAUUGGUUUAUAUUCUAAAUACACCAACCUGGCAAAGACACAGAUUGUCUGUGGAUCCUUCAGACAUGAUCCUACCAGUGAGAACCAACAGAGCUCGGAGGACUAAUAACUCCACGAACUGCUUCUCUGGCUCGUCACAGUCAG
This is a long non-coding RNA of Heterocephalus glaber (naked mole-rat), 2818 nucleotides long. RefSeq lists it as uncharacterized. The record is from RefSeq and is a predicted model, not a curated record. NCBI's taxonomy places the organism in Eukaryota, Metazoa, Chordata, Mammalia, Rodentia, Bathyergidae.